RNAcentral lists this ribosomal RNA (880 nucleotides) under Xenoramularia polygonicola. RNAcentral describes it as "eukaryotic LSU rRNA". It matches the Rfam family "Eukaryotic large subunit ribosomal RNA", at positions 33 to 943 of the family's 3401-position model. Lineage: Eukaryota; Fungi; Ascomycota; Dothideomycetes; Mycosphaerellales; Mycosphaerellaceae. The record is from RNAcentral.
CUUAAGCAUAUCAAUAAGCGGAGGAAAAGAAACCAACAGGGAUUGCCCCAGUAACGGCGAGUGAAGCGGCAACAGCUCAAAUUUGAAAUCUGGCCCCUCGGCCCGAGUUGUAAUUUGUAGAGGAUGCUUCUGGGUAGCGACCGGUCUAAGUUCCUUGGAACAGGACGUCAUAGAGGGUGAGAAUCCCGUAUGCGACCGGCCCGCGCCCUCCACGUAGCUCCUUCGACGAGUCGAGUUGUUUGGGAAUGCAGCUCUAAAUGGGAGGUAAAUUUCUUCUAAAGCUAAAUACCGGCCAGAGACCGAUAGCGCACAAGUAGAGUGAUCGAAAGAUGAAAAGCACUUUGGAAAGAGAGUUAAAAAGCACGUGAAAUUGUUGAAAGGGAAGCGCUUACAACCAGACUUCGGGGCGGUGUUCCGCCGGUCUUCUGACCGGUCCACUCUCCGUCCCGAGGCCAACAUCAUCUGGGACCGCCGGACAAGACCUCAGGAAUGUGGCUCCCCUCGGGGAGUGUUAUAGCCUGUGGUGAUGCGGCGCGUCCCGGGUGAGGUCCGCGCUUCGGCAAGGAUGUUGGCGUAAUGGUUGUCAGCGGCCCGUCUUGAAACACGGACCAAGGAGUCUAACAUCUAUGCGAGUGUUCGGGUGUCAAACCCCUACGCGGAAUGAAAGUGAACGGAGGUGGGAACUUUUUGUGCACCAUCGACCGAUCCUGAUGUCCUCGGAUGGAUUUGAGUAAGAGCAUAGCUGUUGGGACCCGAAAGAUGGUGAACUAUGCCUGAAUAGGGUGAAGCCAGAGGAAACUCUGGUGGAGGCUCGCAGCGGUUCUGACGUGCAAAUCGAUCGUCGAAUUUGGGUAUAGGGGCGAAAGACUAAUCGAACCAU